CAGUAGCCGCGGGAAUACGAAGGGGGCUAGCGUUGCUCGGAAUCACUGGGCGUAAAGGGUGCGUAGGCGGGUCUUUAAGUCAGGGGUGAAAUCCUGGAGCUCAACUCCAGAACUGCCUUUGAUACUGAAGAUCUUGAGUUCGGGAGAGGUGAGUGGAACUGCGAGUGUAGAGGUGAAAUUCGUAGAUAUUCGCAAGAACACCAGUGGCGAAGGCGGCUCACUGGCCCGAUACUGACGCUGAGGCACGAAAGCGUGGGGAGCAAACAGGAUUAGAUACUCCGGUAGUCCCUGUCUCUUAUAC
RNAcentral lists this ribosomal RNA (301 nucleotides) under uncultured bacterium. RNAcentral describes it as "partial 16S ribosomal RNA". It matches the Rfam family "Bacterial small subunit ribosomal RNA", at positions 509 to 807 of the family's 1533-position model. The record is from RNAcentral.